RNAcentral lists this ribosomal RNA (460 nucleotides) under uncultured bacterium. RNAcentral's name for it is "partial 16S ribosomal RNA". It matches the Rfam family "Bacterial small subunit ribosomal RNA", at positions 338 to 795 of the family's 1533-position model. The record is from RNAcentral.
CCUACGGGUGGCAGCAGUGAGGAAUAUUGGUCAAUGGGCGGAAGCCUGAACCAGCCAAGUAGCGUGCAGGAUGACGGCCCUACGGGUUGUAAACUGCUUUUAUAUGGGAAUAAAAUGUUUCACGUGUGCGCUUUUGUAUGUACCAUAUGAAUAAGGAUCGGCUAACUCCGUGCUAGCCGCCGAGGUAAUACGGAGGGUCCGAGCGUUAUCCGGAUUUAUUGGGUUUAAAGGGAGCGUAGGUGGAGUGUUAAGUCAGUUGUGAAAGUUUGCGGCUCAACCGUGAAAUUGCAGUUGAAACUGGCAGUCUGGAGUGCAGUAGAGGUGGGCGGAAUUCGUGGUGUAGCGGUGAAAUGCUUAGAUAUCACGAAGAACUCCGAUUGCGAAGGCAGCUCACUGGACUGCAACUGACACUGAGGCUCGAAAGUGUGGGUAUCAAACAGGAUUAGAUACCCCUGUAGUC